Molecule: non-coding RNA, 46 nt
Organism: Schistosoma margrebowiei
Lineage: Eukaryota; Metazoa; Platyhelminthes; Trematoda; Strigeidida; Schistosomatidae
Source: Rfam
UCCCAGCUGACGAGUCCCAAAAUAAGACGAAACGUGUGUCCUGCAU